GCAGUCGAGCGAUCGAUGGGAGCUUGCUCCCUGAGAUUAGCGGCGGACGGGUGAGUAACACGUGGGCAACCUGCCUAUAAGACUGGGAUAACUUCGGGAAACCGGAGCUAAUACCGGAUACGUUCUUUUCUCGCAUGAGAGAAGAUGGAAAGACGGUUUACGCUGUCACUUAUAGAUGGGCCCGCGGCGCAUUAGCUAGUUGGUGAGGUAAUGGCUCACCAAGGCGACGAUGCGUAGCCGACCUGAGAGGGUGAUCGGCCACACUGGGACUGAGACACGGCCCAGACUCCUACGGGAGGCAGCAGUAGGGAAUCUUCCGCAAUGGACGAAAGUCUGACGGAGCAACGCCGCGUGAACGAAGAAGGCCUUCGGGUCGUAAAGUUCUGUUGUUAGGGAAGAACAAGUACCAGAGUAACUGCUGGUACCUUGACGGUACCUAACCAGAAAGCCACGGCUAACUACGUGCCAGCAGCCGCGGUAAUACGUAGGUGGCAAGCGUUGUCCGGAAUUAUUGGGCGUAAAGCGCGCGCAGGUGGUUCCUUAAGUCUGAUGUGAAAGCCCACGGCUCAACCGUGGAGGGUCAUUGGAAACUGGGGAACUUGAGUG
Molecule: ribosomal RNA, 606 nt
Filed under: Bacillus sp. (in: firmicutes)
Lineage: Bacteria; Bacillati; Bacillota; Bacilli; Caryophanales; Bacillaceae
Description: bacterial SSU rRNA
Rfam family: Bacterial small subunit ribosomal RNA
Source: RNAcentral